RNAcentral lists this ribosomal RNA (449 nucleotides) under uncultured bacterium. RNAcentral's name for it is "partial 16S ribosomal RNA". It matches the Rfam family "Bacterial small subunit ribosomal RNA", at positions 29 to 523 of the family's 1533-position model. The record is from RNAcentral.
AACGAACGCUGGCGGCAUGCCUAACACAUGCAAGUCGAACGAAGGCUUCGGCCUUAGUGGCGCACGGGUGCGUAACGCGUGGGAAUCUGCCCUCAGGUUCGGAAUAACAGCGAGAAAUUGCUGCUAAUACCGGAUGAUAUCGCGAGAUCAAAAAUUUAUCGCCUGAGGAUGAGCCCGCGUAGGAUUAGCUAGUUGGUGUGGUAAAGGCGCACCAAGGCGACGAUCCUUAGCUGGUCUGAGAGGAUGAUCAGCCACACUGGGACUGAGACACGGCCCAGACUCCUACGGGAGGCAGCAGUGGGGAAUAUUGGACAAUGGGCGAAAGCCUGAUCCAGCAAUGCCGCGUGAGUGAUGAAGGCCUUAGGGUUGUAAAGCUCUUUUACCCGGGAUGAUAAUGACAGUACCGGGAGAAUAAGCUCCGGCUAACUCCGUGCCAGCAGCCGCCGCUG